GGGCGCCUACGGGACGCAGCAGUCGGGAAUAUUGCACAAUGGAGGAAACUCUGAUGCAGUGACGCCGCGUGCAGGAAGAAGGUUUUCGGAUUGUAAACUGCUUUAGGCAGGGAAGAAACAAGACAGUACCUGUAGAAUAAGCUCCGGCUAACUACGUGCCAGCAGCCGCGGUAAUACGUAGGGAGCAGGCGUUAUCCGGAUUUAUUGGAUGUAAAGGGUGCGUAGACGGGUAUAUAAGUUAGUUGUGAAAUCCCUCGGCUCAACUGGGGAACUGCAACUAAAACUGUAAAUCUUGAGUGCGGGAG
RNAcentral lists this ribosomal RNA (305 nucleotides) under uncultured bacterium. RNAcentral describes it as "bacterial SSU rRNA". It matches the Rfam family "Bacterial small subunit ribosomal RNA", at positions 333 to 654 of the family's 1533-position model. The record is from RNAcentral.